This 617-nucleotide ribosomal RNA is filed under the name Salmonella enterica. Its description in RNAcentral is "partial 23S ribosomal RNA". It matches the Rfam family "Bacterial large subunit ribosomal RNA", at positions 2211 to 2824 of the family's 2925-position model. The record is from RNAcentral. RNAcentral also lists the same sequence under 1 other name. Lineage: Bacteria; Pseudomonadati; Pseudomonadota; Gammaproteobacteria; Enterobacterales; Enterobacteriaceae.
UGUUUGAUGUUCUAACGUGGACCCGUGAUCCGGGUUGCGGACAGUGUCUGGUGGGUAGUUUGACUGGGGCGGUCUCCUCCUAAAGAGUAACGGAGGAGCACGAAGGUUGGCUAAUCCUGGUCGGACAUCAGGAGGUUAGUGCAAUGGCAUAAGCCAGCUUGACUGCGAGCGUGACGGCGCGAGCAGGUGCGAAAGCAGGUCAUAGUGAUCCGGUGGUUCUGAAUGGAAGGGCCAUCGCUCAACGGAUAAAAGGUACUCCGGGGAUAACAGGCUGAUACCGCCCAAGAGUUCAUAUCGACGGCGGUGUUUGGCACCUCGAUGUCGGCUCAUCACAUCCUGGGGCUGAAGUAGGUCCCAAGGGUAUGGCUGUUCGCCAUUUAAAGUGGUACGCGAGCUGGGUUUAGAACGUCGUGAGACAGUUCGGUCCCUAUCUGCCGUGGGCGCUGGAGAACUGAGGGGGGCUGCUCCUAGUACGAGAGGACCGGAGUGGACGCAUCACUGGUGUUCGGGUUGUCAUGCCAAUGGCACUGCCCGGUAGCUAAAUGCGGAAGAGAUAAGUGCUGAAAGCAUCUAAGCACGAAACUUGCCCCGAGAUGAGUUCUCCCUGAGACUUAGAG